RNAcentral lists this long non-coding RNA (638 nucleotides) under Homo sapiens (human). Its description in RNAcentral is "OTULIN divergent transcript". Lineage: Eukaryota; Metazoa; Chordata; Mammalia; Primates; Hominidae. The record is from RNAcentral.
ACGGUUCCAACGCCCGAGCCCAGCGGGCUUGGGCCUCCGCUGUCGGGCCAGGCUAGUUGCUCCGGGGCUGGGAGUUACGGCACCGGGGUUGGGGCGGAGAAGACGAACUAGUUCAACUCGACCCGGUUAAGCAAGCGCAGCAGUGUGUGUUCUUGGAUCAUAGUAUUUCAUGUAAACAUUUUGAUUUAAGAGAAACAAAAGGGAAAAUAUUAACCGUUUUCAAGCAUCCAAAGGCGAAAUGCUUCAUCUCUGGGAUGGAGUAGAGGAGUAGCCUCUGCGGUUGAGUUGCAGUCGUGGGUGCAAGAAGCAGCGCUGAAGCAGAGUGCAGCCCCGGAAUAGGGCGGGAUGGAAUGGCCUGGGCAGUUCAGAAACCCGCGAGGAGUCCAGGGCGGAACAGAAGGGGACACAUAGAUAAAUGUGCACAGAGGGAAGAAGGCCAUUUGGAGAUAGAAGCAGGGAUUGGAGUGAUGCAACUGGAAGCCAAGAAACGCCGCAGAAUGCCAGGAGCCAGCAGAAGCUAAGAAAAGGCAAAGAAGGAUUAUUCCAAAGUGCCUUCCGAAGAAGGUUGGCCCUGCCAAAAACCUGAUUUCAGACUUCUAGCCCCCAAAACUGCAAGAGAAUAAAUUUUGUUGUUUCAA